This 301-nucleotide ribosomal RNA is filed under the name uncultured bacterium. RNAcentral describes it as "partial 16S ribosomal RNA". It matches the Rfam family "Bacterial small subunit ribosomal RNA", at positions 509 to 807 of the family's 1533-position model. The record is from RNAcentral.
CAGUAGCCACGGUAAUACGUAGGUGGCAAGCGUUGUCCGGAAUUAUUGGGCGUAAAGGGCUCGCAGGCGGUUUCUUAAGUCUGAUGUGAAAGCCCCCGGCUCAACCGGGGAGGGUCAUUGGAAACUGGGAAACUUGAGUGCAGAAGAGGAGAGUGGAAUUCCACGUGUAGCGGUGAAAUGCGUAGAGGUGUGGAGGAACACCAGUGGCGAAGGCGACUCUCUGGUCUGUAACUGACGCUGAGGAGCGAAAGCGUGGGGAGCGAACAGGAUUAGAUACCCGUGUAGUCCCUGUCUCUUAUAC